RNAcentral lists this ribosomal RNA (301 nucleotides) under uncultured bacterium. RNAcentral describes it as "partial 16S ribosomal RNA". It matches the Rfam family "Bacterial small subunit ribosomal RNA", at positions 509 to 807 of the family's 1533-position model. The record is from RNAcentral.
CAGUAGCCGCGGUAAUACGAAGGGGGCUAGCGUUGUUCGGAAUUACUGGGCGUAAAGCGCACGUAGGCGGAUAUUUAAGUCAGGGGUGAAAUCCCGCAGCUCAACUGCGGAACUGCCUUUGAUACUGGGUAUCUUGAGUAUGGAAGAGGUUAGUGGAAUUGCGAGUGUAGAGGUGAAAUUCGUAGAUAUUCGCAGGAACACCAGUGGCGAAGGCGGCUAACUGGUCCAUAACUGACGCUGAGGUGCGAAAGCGUGGGGAGCAAACAGGAUUAGAUACCCGGGUAGUCCCUGUCUCUUAUAC